Molecule: ribosomal RNA, 253 nt
Filed under: uncultured bacterium
Lineage: Bacteria
Description: partial 16S ribosomal RNA
Rfam family: Bacterial small subunit ribosomal RNA
Source: RNAcentral
UACGUAGGGUGCAAGCGUUGUCCGGAAUUAUUGGGCGUAAAGAGCUCGUAGGCGGCUUGUCGCGUCGAAUGUGAAAUCUCAGGGCUCAACUCUGACAUUGCAUUCGAUACGGGCAGGCUAGAGUUCGGUAGGGGAGACUGGAAUUCCUGGUGUAGCGGUGAAAUGCGCAGAUAUCAGGAGGAACACCGGUGGCGAAGGCGGGUCUCUGGGCCGAUACUGACGCUGAUGAGCGAAAGCGUGGGGAGCGAACAGG